Non-coding RNA from Chrysemys picta bellii (western painted turtle), 181 nucleotides. NCBI's taxonomy places the organism in Eukaryota, Metazoa, Chordata, Testudines, Emydidae. The record is from RefSeq and is a predicted model, not a curated record.
CAAUUUCAAGCUCCAAGACAAUAAUAACUGAAACUAUAACUUCUCAUAUUUCACCCUAGCAGCUGCUGGAUAUACAACAUCUCCAUCAACAGGAACACCAGGAUACACUCCAUCAUGGCCCUGGUACACAACAACUCGAACACCGGGAUACACUCCAUCAUGGCCCUGGUACACAACCACU